Molecule: unclassified non-coding RNA, 363 nt
Filed under: fungal sp.
Lineage: Eukaryota; Fungi
Description: partial internal transcribed spacer region
Rfam family: Eukaryotic small subunit ribosomal RNA (bases 1-46)
Source: RNAcentral
AAGUCGUAACAAGGUUUCCGUAGGUGAACCUGCGGAAGGAUCAUUAUCAAAAAACGUUAUCCACGUUAUAAACAAACCGUGAACUGUUUCUUUUUGCCUUUGGGGGUGAUAAAACUGAGAAAUUUUGGGAUCAGUCCAUUAGUGUGGUUUGGAUAUUGCCCUUUCUCGUCUUACAUGGUUUUUCCCUCAAAGUGUACUUUCAAUCACACAUUUUUUUUUUUCAUUAACCUCUUGAACCUUUCAAAAAUUUUACUAUACGAACUGAAUUGUUUCUUCCUUACAACAAAAAUUAUUUUUGUUGUGAGACGAAACUAUUUAUACGAAAUAUAAAUACAACUCUUAGCAACGGAUAUCUUGGUUCUC